GCUUAACACAUGCAAGUCGAGCGAUGAAGUUUCUUCGGAAAUGGAUUAGCGGCGAACGGGUGAGGAACACGUGAAGAAUCUGCCCUCCACUUUGGGAUAACACCGGGAAACCGGUGCUAAUACCGAAUAUUGAAACAUAAGUGGCAUCACUGAGUUUUGAAAGAAUUUCGGUGGAGGAUGACUUCGCGGCCUAUCAGCUAGUUGGUGAGGUAAUGGCUCACCAAGGCAACGACGGGUAGCCGGCCUGAGAGGGCGACCGGCCACACUGGGACUGAGACACGGCCCAGACUCCUACGGGAGGCAGCAGUGGGGAAUAUUGGGCAAUGGAGGAAACUCUGACCCAGCGACGCCGCGUGCGGGAUGAAGGCCUUCGGGUUGUAAACCGCUUUCAGUAGGGAAGAAGCGAAAGUGACGGUACCUACAAAAGAAGCACCGGCUAACUAUGUGCCAGCAGCCGCGGUAAUACAUAGGGUGCAAGCGUUGUCCGGAAUUAUUGGGCGUAAAGAGCUCGUAGGUCGUUUGUUACGUCGGAUGUGAAAACCUGAGGCUCAACCUCAGGCCUGCAUUCGAUACGGGCAAACUAGAGUUUGGUAGGGGAGACUGGAAUUCCUGGUGUAGCGGUGGAAUGCGCAGAUAUCAGGAGGAACACCAAUGGCGAAGGCAGGUCUCUGGGCCAAUACUGACACUGAGGAGCGAAAGUCUGGGGAGCGAACAGGAUUAGAUACCCUGGUAGUCCAGACCGUAAACGGUGGGCACUAGUUGUGGGAACCUUCCACGGUUUCUGCGACGCAGCUAACGCAUUAAGUGCCCCGCCUGGGAG
This 820-nucleotide ribosomal RNA is filed under the name uncultured bacterium. RNAcentral's name for it is "bacterial SSU rRNA". It matches the Rfam family "Bacterial small subunit ribosomal RNA", at positions 46 to 879 of the family's 1533-position model. The record is from RNAcentral.